AAUAAGUGCAGCCGUGGAUAUCCGCGUCCAACGUUUGACCGUUCGUCUUAUUUGAAAAAUUUGUGAAAAAAAUAAAAAAAUUUAGUCACACAUAAAGUACUAUUCAUGUUUUAUCAUCUAAUAGCAAUAAAAAUACUAAUCAUAAAAAAAUUUUUAAAUAAGACGAACGAUCAAACGUUGAACGUGAAUAGUGUAAAACUGCACUUAUU
This 209-nucleotide microRNA precursor is filed under the name Oryza glumipatula. Its description in RNAcentral is "MIR812 microRNA precursor family". It matches the Rfam family "MIR812 microRNA precursor family". Lineage: Eukaryota; Viridiplantae; Streptophyta; Magnoliopsida; Poales; Poaceae. The record is from Rfam by way of RNAcentral.